UUUUGUCCUCCCCUCCCCCAUCUUCCCCAUCCCCACGACUGAAAAAAUUGCGGAAAUCGAUCGAAAUCGCAAGUCGAAAACCCCCCAUCGAGCGACGCCAAAACGGAGAGGAGAAUAGGGAAAAGGCGAGGGCGAAGGUGCAGCGACGGCUACCGGCGCGAUGAAACCGUCGGCGUCCAAGAAGAAGGCCAAGAAGAAGAAGAAGCCCUCGCCGCCGCCGGCUGCGGCGACGGCCCCUGCGCCGGCGGAGGGGGUGGCCGAUUCGGAGGCCGGGUCGCCGGGGCCCGAAACCCUAACCCUAGCAGCGGCCGCCGCGGCGGUUUCGGAGACGGAGUCCAGCAGCAGCUGCGAGGCCUCGACGUCCCCGUCGACCUCCUUCGCCGCAAGCUCCUCGGGGGCCGCCUCGACGUCAUCCUUCUUCGCCUUCUCGUCGUCUGGGUCCACCGCCUCCUCCUCGGUCGCGGGGGAGGAGCGGCGGGACCUCGCGUGGCUGCUCGACGCCUUCGCCAGCGCCACCAUCGACCAGGUCGAGUCCGCCUACCGCGAGGCCGGCGGGGACCCCUUCCGGGCGGCUGGUAUCCUGGGCUCCACGCAGGACACGCAACCGCCGCAGCCCCCUCAGCCGGCCCCGCAGCCUCCGCCGCCACCGGAUCUCUCGCCGCGCAGUGGAUCUGGUGGAAGGAAGGCUGGUCGGAGGCCCAAGAGGGUUGCGGUUGCCGCGACUGGCAUGGUCGCGGACGUCAUUGGCAAGGACUACACCCGGCCGGCCACUGCCCCUGUGAGCUCGCCAAAUGCGUGGAAGGGUAGGGAUCAGGAGAGAGAUGGCGGGUCUGGUGCCCGCAAGUAUAGUGUGGAAGAGGCAGAGCAGUUCCUGUGCUCCAUGCUUGGGGAUAAUUCCGAGCUUGGCAUGGGUGUGGUUAGAGACGUGGUUGGUCAGUAUGGGUCUGAUGUUGAGAAGGCUUUGGAUGCAUUGCUUGAUAUCUCUGGUGUGUCUUCCAUCCAAAACAUGGAAACACAACAUCCAAAUGCUGAAAGGAACAGCACUCGGUAUCUGACUGUGUUCCCUGGAAAUGGUCAAUCCGUAGUCAACCUGCCUGCAGGCAAUAUAAGAAGUCCACGCCAGUUGACGGAUCAGGUAUCCAACACUAUUCUCCAGUCUGAAUUAGGACAUGAGUUUCUUUGGGACGAACCCCAGAUCAGCUAUGCAAAGGCUGUGAUGGAGGCUCCACGUUCGUCAACAUUGCCUUCGAGGUCAACUGAAGUGAAAGCCAACCCUCAGCAGGUCCUGGAUUCACUGUUUAAAAUUCCUGAAAUGCGCACAUAUGAGCCAAGUUCAAUGGACUGGAAAAAGGUAGUAAAGAAGCUGCAGUCAUUUAAUUCUACUGCCACGUCAAACAAUCAAGAAAGGCCUAAAGCUGGGGAUGGCUAUCGGGAGUUCCGUGGUGUGGCUGCGAGGCAUUAUGAUAAAAUGAAAGAAUACUAUCAGAAAGCUGCCCUCGCUUAUUCAAAAGGAGACAAAUCAUAUGCUGCUUACCUUGCUGAGGAGGGUAAACAUUAUCGGGAACUGGCCUGCAUGGAAGAUGAGAAGGCCAGCAGGAAUAUAUUUGAAGCCAGUUUGCUUCUGAGAGCUAAUAUUCUUCUUGCAGAAAUAAGCAUAUAACAAACACAGUAACUAUCGACUUGCACGGUCAACAUGUCCAACAAGCCAUGAAGCUUCUCAAGGUUCACAUGAUGAUUUGUAUUUGCAUGCCAUCUGUAUUGCUGAGGGUUAUUACUGGUUGUGGUUCAGAAGGUACAGGGAAGGGAAAAAUAAAGCGAUCGGUUAUAGAGCUUGCUGAGAAGGAACUUAUUGAGUGGCGUGAAGAUAACUCUGGAACCAUAGCACUUCGACUUGGUGGGCCAAGAGAGUACCGCUUUCUUGAAUAUGACAGCGAUUCUGACUAAGCGGAAGCCUUUUCAGGAGACUUGACAUAGAUUAACAUUCGUUCUAAUCUAUGUAUCUCAGUAUCUAUCUGUAUUUACCUGUGUUGUAAUUAUGGAUAGGCGACCUAGGCUCUGAUGUAGGAGGUAGCUGUGACACAGAAGUUUAGUUCAAGUAAUUUAUUAUGGUGGUAUGUUGAUCCCCGGCUGCUAAUAGUUUAGUGUAGUCUGAAGCUUUGUAUACCUGUCCAAUCGUUAGAUGUGCUUCUGAAUACAAUGUAUUACAGGAGCAACAAUCAAGUGUAACAUUAUAUCAUGAUGAUGUUCUGUAUCAUGCUGUGGCGGAACCAAAUAUACUCGGUUC
Molecule: RNA transcript, 2284 nt
Organism: Panicum virgatum (switchgrass)
Lineage: Eukaryota; Viridiplantae; Streptophyta; Magnoliopsida; Poales; Poaceae
Gene name: SMR domain-containing protein At5g58720-like
Exons: 11
Source: RefSeq, a predicted model, not a curated record